This 345-nucleotide unclassified non-coding RNA is filed under the name soil metagenome. RNAcentral describes it as "partial contains 5.8S ribosomal RNA, internal transcribed spacer 2, and large subunit ribosomal RNA". The stretch from base 1 to 120 matches the Rfam family "5.8S ribosomal RNA", at positions 35 to 154 of the family's 154-position model. The record is from RNAcentral.
GAUGAAGAACGCAGCGAAAUGCGAUACGUAAUCUGAAUUGCAGAAUUCAGUGAAUCAUCGAGUCUUUGAACGCACAUUGCGCCCCCUGGUAUUCCGGGGGGCAUGCCUGUCCGAGCGUCAUUGCUGCCCUCAAGCACGGCUUGUGUGUUGGGCCUCCGUCCUCCUCCCGGGGGACGGGCCCGAAAGGCAGCGGCGGCACCGCGUCCGGUCCUCGAGCGUAUGGGGCUUCGUCACCCGCUCUUGUAGGCCCGGCCGGCGCUUGCCGACACAUCAAUCUUUUUUCCAGGUUGACCUCGGAUCAGGUAGGGAUACCCGCUGAACUUAAGCAUAUCAAUAAGCGGAGGA